This 597-nucleotide long non-coding RNA is filed under the name Medicago truncatula (barrel medic). Its description in RNAcentral is "long non-coding RNA (MTRU_LNC002554)". The record is from RNAcentral. Lineage: Eukaryota; Viridiplantae; Streptophyta; Magnoliopsida; Fabales; Fabaceae.
AACCACGUAAAAAAUACCAUUAAAUUUAAUCAACCGUCCAGAUUUAUUAGAAAUCAAAAUGAUAAUAUCCAGGCAUUUCUCACACAAUCAAGCCACCACCCUCAACAAAUUGUUCAUUGAAAAAUUAAUCCAUGAAACGUAAAACACUAUAUUGCACAAGAACAAUGACAGUCCCACAACAAUGAUUAUUAUUUUUUAUUUUUUUUGGUACAACACAACAAUGAUUAUUAGAGAAUAUGAAAGAUGAAUUUUCUGGAAAUUUCAAAAACCUCAAAUGUUUGAUUUCAUGUUCCCGUGUUAAAUUCAAGUUUAAAGUAUGAACCACCCAUUCAACAUUGCAAUCUAUUUUGAAGUAACCAUAUCUCUUCCCAUAAAAGAGAAAAGAGUAGCAAUAUUAUAAAAAAGAAAUAAAAGAAAGAAAUAUCAGGCUGAAGAAGUAGGGACAUGAAUUGGAUGGAGGAAAGUAGUCAAUGUUCCUCUUUUGUAAGUACCCAAAGGGAGUAGAACAGCAAAGGGGCAAGAGACGAGAGGGAGAAGAAAAGAAAGAGAGGUGCAAUAUAGUGUAUAUGGUGUAUAAUAAGAUAUGUGUACUUGAUU